RNA transcript from Mandrillus leucophaeus (drill), 1264 nucleotides. It is a transcript of the gene named C-type lectin domain family 4 member G-like, with no coding region annotated. The record is from RefSeq and is a predicted model, not a curated record. Lineage: Eukaryota; Metazoa; Chordata; Mammalia; Primates; Cercopithecidae. The transcript has 9 exons.
AUGGACACCACCAGGUACAGCAAGUGGGGCUGGGGCGGCAGCUCAGAGGAGGUCCCUGGAGGGAGCUGGGGACGCUGGGUGCACUGGAGCCGGAGACCCCUUUUCCUGGCCCUGGCUGUCCUGGUCGCCACAGUCCUGUGGGCUGUGAUUCUGAGUAUCCUAUUGUCCAAGGCCUUCACGGAGCGCGCGGCGCUGCUCGGCUGCCAGGACCUGCUGAGGACAAACGCCUCCAAGCAGACGGCGGCACUGGGUGCCCUGAAGGAGGAGAUCCGAGUCUGCCGCAGCUGCUGCUGGCGGACGCAGACGCAGCUGCAGACCACGCGCUCGGAGCUUGGGAGGCGCAGGCAAAGCUGAUGGAGCCGGAGAGCGCCCUGCGGGAACUGCUUGAGCGCUUGACCCAGGGCUUGGCUGAAGCCGGCAGGGACCGCUAGGACGUCCGCUCUGGGCUGUUCCUGGCGCUGGAGGCAGUGAGGCUGCAGAACAGUUCCUGUGAGCCGGGUCCCACGUCGUGGCUGCCCUUCGGGAGCUCCUGCUACUAUUUCUCUGUGCCGAAGACCCACGUGGGCAGAGGCGCAAGGCCACUGCGCCGAUGCCAGCGCACAUCUGUAGGGGGCCUAGAGGAGCAGGGCUUCCUGAGUCAUCACACUAGCGCCCUUGAAUACUGGAUCGGCCGCAAGGCGGUGCAACACUUGUGCAAGGUUCAGGGCUCCUCGUGGGUGGACAGAGUCCCACUCAGCUUCAGCCACUGGUUACAGGGGAACCCAGUGAAUCUUGGGGGUUCGAGGCCUGUGUCAUGAUUCUAGGCACGGGGUUGUGGAUGGACCCACCAUGUGAUGAUAAGGCUGACCGGAUCUGUGAGAAGAGGCAUGGUGCUGAACCCGCCCGGUGCUCCAGAGCCAUGCCCAGUGCCCAACGGGGUGCCAUGCACCAUCCCGGCUCCUGGAACCUACUGGCAAUGAUUUUCUUUUCUCCAUCCACCACUGUGAGAACCAAUCAGCCAGGCCCAGCCCUGUCCGGUGCCUGCACUCUGGGACCUCUGCUCUGACCUCAUGGAGACCUAACCUAACCUUCACUGGCUCCAAAAUCUCCAUUUCUGGAUCCCAGUGGUCUGACCCCACCUCUCCUCCUAGCCAAGGUCAGGCAACUGAGGAAUGGAACUAUUUGGUUUUCCUGCACUUUCCUGCAAAGGGGAGAAUGGUACUUCCUACAAAGCUCUCUUCGCAGCCUGGGGGAGCAUCAAUUAAGGUUUGAGAAGUGGAUCCAG